CUUUAUAUCCCCCUUACUUUCCUCCUCUUUCUUCUAAGUGUUUUUUUCUAACUAUACCAAAAGCAACCUCACUUGCUCUCUCCUACUUCCUUCUUAGCAACUCCCCUCAUUACACAAUUUCCUUUAAUCCUUGCAUUUUUCUUGUUUUUUUCUUGUCCAUUUGUCACCAAUAUUUAUAUAGUCUUUUAGUUGCUUACUCAUCUCAAAUUAAAUAUACGAUAUACUUAUUUUGUCAUCAUUUGAGUUUUUACAACAAAAUGGAGAAAGUUAAAGGAUUGGAGAAAAAGAAAUUGAUUAGUGAGCUAACACAAGGGAAGGAGUUCGUAAAGCAACUGAAAAAACAGAUUGGUCCAUUGGCUUCACCUGAAGAAUGUGAUUUACUACUUGGGAAAAUAUUGUCAUCACUAGAGAAAUCAUUGUCAAUUCUUAAUUUGAAAGCACUUCUUCUUGAAGGUGGAAUUAAUGCUAAUAAUUCAACAUCUUCAUGUUCAUCAAUUUCAUUUCUUGGUAAUAAUAAUAGUCCCAUGAGUGAAGUUUUUGAUUCUCCAAGUCAUCAUUUGGACAAAAAUAUGGUCUCCAAGAAGAGAAAGAAAUCACAAGAGACUAAUCAAAUAACCAUUUCUGGGACGGGGCUUGAAGGUUCACAUGAAGAUGGAUUUAGUUGGAGAAAAUAUGGCCAGAAAGAUAUUUUAGGGGCUAAUCAUCCAAGGGCUUAUUAUCGGUGCACACACAGGCAUACACAGGGGUGUUUGGCAACAAAACAAGUCCAAAGAUCAGAUGGAAACUCAACAAUCUUUGAGGUAACAUACAAAGGAAGGCACAGUUGCAAAGUUGCACAAUCAGAUAUCUUUUCACUUAAUAAUCAAAAACGCCAGAAACACAACAAAAAACAAGAACAAGAGAUGGUAAUAUUCAACUCUACACCAAACCAUGACGCAGAAAACUUCAACAUCACAACAAAAGAAGAAGUUUUCACACCAUUUUCAUUUCCACCUACACCCCUAAACCUAGAGAAUAUUGAAGAGACAAAAUUCUUUUGUGAUUCCAUGGUGCCAUUGUUAACGUCCCAAAAUCAAGAAUUUGGAAUGGACUACAUGACUCUGCACUGCUCAAAUUCAGAUCUCACUGAAUUGAUCUCGACCCCGACCCCAACCUCGAUUUCAAAUUCCUCAUUUGUCGGAGAUUGGGAUUUGUCUGAGGAUUUUGAACCUAAUGUCAUAUUUGACAUUGAAGAGUUCUUUAGUUAAUAUCAAAUUAGAAUAUUAUUAGCAAGUUUGUAAUAGUAGCAAGUUUUGUGCAAUAAGUAUAUUAUUUUUUUAGCCUAAUUGAUCCUAAACUAAAGUCAAUUGACUGAUAUAUACAUAGCAUUCUGUGUAUAUGUGAGAUUUCUGUAAUAUGUUUAGGGAGUUGAGAUUUUUUGUAAUUUGUGUAAUUUUUAGUUCAUAAAAAUGGCCCAAUUAUAAUGAAAACAAAAUGGGCCCUAGAAAGUCCAACUGUCUUUUGUUUUCUUCAUCCUAAAAUGUUUGCCAAUUUGAAUUAGACUUUGUAUUUGUG
This is an RNA transcript of Capsicum annuum, 1554 nucleotides long. It is a transcript of the gene named probable WRKY transcription factor 53, with no coding region annotated. NCBI's taxonomy places the organism in Eukaryota, Viridiplantae, Streptophyta, Magnoliopsida, Solanales, Solanaceae. The record is from RefSeq and is a predicted model, not a curated record. The transcript has 4 exons.